UAACAAAUCAAAAAAAGUUUU
Molecule: non-coding RNA, 21 nt
Filed under: Caenorhabditis elegans
Lineage: Eukaryota; Metazoa; Nematoda; Chromadorea; Rhabditida; Rhabditidae
Source: RNAcentral